RNAcentral lists this ribosomal RNA (412 nucleotides) under uncultured microorganism. RNAcentral's name for it is "bacterial SSU rRNA". It matches the Rfam family "Archaeal small subunit ribosomal RNA", at positions 330 to 743 of the family's 1478-position model. The record is from RNAcentral.
GCGCAGCAGGCGCGAAAACUUCACAAUGUGCGAAAGCACGAUGAGGGAAUCCCAAGUGCUUGCACGUAAGUGUAAGCUGUUUCUCUGUCUAAAACGCAGAGAGAGUAAGGGCUGGGUAAGACGGGUGCCAGCCGCCGCGGUAAUACCUGCAGCUCGAGUGGUGACCGUUAUUAUUGGGCCUAAAACGUCCGUAGCCGGUUUAAUAAAUGCCUGGGUAAAUCGGACCGCUUAACGGUUCGAAUUCCGGGUAGACUGUUAAACUUGAGACCGGGAGAAGUUAGAGGUACUCCUGGGGUAGAGGUGAAAUUCUGUAAUCCUAGGGGGACCACCAGUGGCGAAGGCGUCUAACUAGAACGGGUCUGACGGUGAGGGACGAAGCCCUGGGGCGCAAACGGGAUUAGAUACCCCGGUA